RNAcentral lists this unclassified non-coding RNA (3617 nucleotides) under Leishmania donovani. RNAcentral's name for it is "gene:LdHU3.28.1800(CDS-product:hypothetical_prote in_conserved)". The record is from RNAcentral. Lineage: Eukaryota; Euglenozoa; Kinetoplastea; Trypanosomatida; Trypanosomatidae.
ACUUCGAAAGCGCCGCCUUCUGAAGGUAGCCGAUCAGCGCAGGAGGACACCGCCGUGCCCUGUCGCCCUUGUGUGUUCUUUUUGCGCCUCCUGUCGCAUCUUCCUUCUCUACGCCCGCUCUGUGCGUCUCUUCACCACCGCUGCAGCGUGCUAUGGCGGAGCACCAGCAGUCGUUUUUUGCGCAGGCCCUCUCGCCCCUGGCACCCGAGGCGUCGCCCAAGAGCCACGCUGCUUCCAUCGAGUCCGCGUCGCAUCGGCACGCAACGGCGGACGAGGCGCGUGCCUCUGUACCACCUCAGCGCCGAGCGAGUGCAGCGGGAAGGGGCGCAGCGUCUCCUGCGACCACGCCACCCCCGCGCAUUCACGACAAAGCCUGGCUCUUCCACACGGUGCUCCUGCCAUCUAUCCGAACGACGGACUUUCGUCGCGACGGCAGCACACAGCAGCACGGCGCCGGUGACGUGCAAGGAAAAGCCGCGUCACUGCUCGCGCGCGACGACGUGACACAUGUGAGGUCCCCAAAGUCGACCGGGCGUGCGAGCACCAGCGCUCCCGUGGAUCCUGCGCCGACCUUCUUGAUGGAGCCGAAUCACCUUUUUUUCGAAGACACCCCGUCCCCCUCUCGCAGCGGUGGGUCAUUGGCAGACCGCUACAGCCUACGCACGCUCUACACGUCCCGCUGUGUGAGCCUUGGCAUGCGGCGGCCAUUCGACCGCCUCCUGCAGCAGCUUCCCAGUGAAGCUGGCCAAGACGCAGCCGAUCAGUUACGCAUGCUUGUCGCGCGAGACACGUACAUCCCGGCCAAGGCGUGCCAAGCGCUCACGGUGUUGUUGCCCUACUGCACCGGGCUCGAGUACAUCAACCUGUGCAACGCAGGGCUGCGGAGCAAAUCCGGCUUCAUGACAGGUGUGAACGCGCUAUUGGACGCCCUCAUCUGCAGCCCGGCAGGCAGCGGCAUCGGUGCGGCCCUGCACACCAUUGAUCUCUCCUUAAACAAGCUCGACGACCGCACCGGUCGGCGACUCUUGCGCCUCGCCCAGCAGCAGCCUCACCUGCGUGUGGUGAAUAUUGACGGCACAGAAAUUAGGGACAGGAUGAAGACACGCAUCGCGGAAGAGCUGCGCAGGAACUCGAAGGCGCGCACACCGCCUAUAUUGCUCGACGAGGCAGAUGAGGAGCAAACUGCCGCCUCUACCGCGGCUUAGCCCUUUGCCCUAGCUGGCCCGCUGACGAAGCCAGGAGUGGCAUUCGUGUUUCGCGACGACGAUGCCGACGGGCUGGGAGGCAAGCUCCCUGCUGUUCGCGACGGUGACGGCGCCGCAUCCGUGACGUCAUCCACGGUGAGUAAACGCCACAGCUCACACCGCAGUGACUCACAGAGGCUUGCUGGCCACAAAGCAAGCAGAAGCCAGAACGCCAGCGCGAGCAACGCGGAUGCGGCAGAGGUAAGCGGCAGUGAAAAGGAGUGACAAUGAUGAUCCUCAGCGGCGUACGCCCACUGGCACGGCGACGGCGCUGAAGAUCUGCGACCUGCACGUGCUCGUGCGCCCACCCACCCUCACUCCUUUUUGAAGGGCAUCAGGAAAGUGAGGGAAGCAUGCAGAAGGUAAAAUGGCAUUCGCACAAGAGACGCGAUGGUGGCGAUGCGCGAUUCGCCGAUGCAGGUACCUCUGCCACACGGCCGCCGAGGCUUAUUGUUUUCUUUUUUAGCUUCAUAGCCUUGCCGAAAGGAGUGGAAAAGGUCUCCCCAGUCCCUCUGCCCCCCUCCCCCCUUGCGCAGUGCUCCCGCCGGCAUGGACACGCACGCGUACGCCAAGGUCAGAACCUUGUGCAUGGUUUCCUUCGUGCCUGACGACGAGAUCCCUCCCUCUCCCUAUCAUCACCGAAUGCUGCCUGUGCCUUGUGGGUAUGUGCACGGCCACCUCCUGCAUGUGGGAUCUGUUUCGGUCACCUCCUGGUUCCUGUGUGUCUGGUGGAAGGCUUCGCACCGAUGUGUUCGCCUCCCUCCACCCACGCCAUACGCACACACAGGCAGUUUCUUCUUCCUGUCAUGCCUUGUCUCCUCCGCAUGGGCUGCGCUGCUCUCCUUUCGCGAUGUCCGUCGCUCUCUCCCCUUCCCUCAGGCGCCCGUCGUUCUCACCGGGAAAGACAAAGACAGCGAAAAGGUGUUCAACGGAAAUGGGACGAUUCGUGCUUCUAUGUAUCUGCGCCCUCGUGAGCCGACCCACUCCCGUCCUUUUGGCUUCCUCGUCUUCUUUCAUCUCGUGUUGGCCUUGAUGCGCUUCGGCUUUCGCGUUUCCUCGCGCUCCUUCUGGUCUGUUUUCUGGAACUGUUGCUCCAGCUUGUGCCCUUCUCAUGCCAGGCGCCUUCUUUGUGCAUGCCCUCGGUGCAGAGCGUUUUGUCAAGGGUCCAUUCCCCCUCCCCCGCGUAUAGCCUCGCCUCGCCUCGUCGCGGCUUCCCUCCGUCUUGCGGCGACAUAUGUGUGUGCGUGUGUGCGCGCGCCUUCUUUCGUCCUUUGCUGCGUUGUUUGUCCUCCUCAUCCUUUUUCGUUGUUCGCUGCUGUGAUGUGGGUUGGAACUACACCGUGAGAGCUGUAAGGAUACGCGCAGGGCACGACGUCCUCGGCAAUCGUUGCACCUUCUCGCUCUCUCUCAUUCCUCGCUUCUUCGCCUCCUUGCCCGUGCCCCAUUCUCUGUUCGCAUCGCUCACACAGGGCAGAGAGGUGCGCAGGGCGAGGCGGCCGGAGUUGGCGUCUCUUCUGAGCACACGAGCGCAUCUAGAACACGGUGGGAAAGGAAGUAAAUGCAAUGAUGAUGCUCGAGUGUGGCCACCGUGUGCGCUUUUUUUUUGUGUGUGUGUCGAUUCGAGCCAAAAGGAAAAGAACCCAAAGCGGUAGGCAGGCUUGUCGUGUAUCGGCUCUGCCACCACGAAUCCCCCGCCGCUUCCUCCUCCUCGUUUCCUCUCCGGCCUAUCACCGAGUGACGGCGGCGUCUCUAGCAAGUGAAAGUCUGUAGCAGGAAACUACUUUUCUUAGUUCUUCGCCCUUGUCCUCCUCCCACCCCCCCCCCUCCUCUUCCUUCCCCUCGGCCUCUUCCCUCUGUAAGUUUGCCCCGUCUCCAUUUUUUUUGUCCCGCUCCCGCUCUCUUGGAACGCCACGUGGCCCUUCGGCGACAAUGUACAUGCUCGGCAAACUUUCUCUUCUUUGUUUUCGCGAUGGGGGAGGGGGAGGGGGGUCGCUUUUCUUGUGGUUUGGGUCUCCGCUUUUAGUGUGGCGGGGGCCUCCUGAAGUAAAUUGCAGCCCAUUCGCGAGUUUCGCCGCACACACUCGUUUUCUGUCGAUCUCAACGGAGCAAGCAACGAAAAGGCAAAAAGGGACCGCAUCGGCGCGUGUGGACUCGACCACGGUGCCCUGCGCUUCGCAGCUGCCCAUCUGCCGUCACCUCCCCUCCCCCUCCUCCUCUCCUAGUUGAGCUCGUCAUCGAUGCCCUUUAGUGCAAUGGCCAACUGCCCGCUCUUCUGCGAGGGGCAGCAAACAAAGGGCAUGCGGAAAAGCGGCUCAGCGGCGCUCAUUUCACUGCCCGCUGGCCGGGUGGUACCUCCCACGGUGCUGCACUGGC